AGUAGGGCGGGACACGUGUUAUCCUGUCUGAAUAUGGGGGGACCAUCCUCCAAGGCUAAAUACUCCUGACUGACCGAUAGUGAACCAGUACCGUGAGGGAAAGGCGAAAAGAACCCCUGUGAGGGGAGUGAAAUAGAACCUGAAACCGUGUACGUACAAGCAGUAGGAGCACCUUCGUGGUGUGACUGCGUACCUUUUGUAUAAUGGGUCAGCGACUUAUAUUCAGUGGCAAGGUUAACCAUCUAGGGGAGCCGUAGGGAAACCGAGUCUUAACUGGGCGCCAUAGUCUCUGGAUAUAGACCCGAAACCGAGUGAUCUAGCCAUGGGCAGGUUGAAGGUUGAGUAACAUCAACUGGAGGACCGAACCGACUAAUGUUGAAAAAUUAGCGGAUGACUUGUGGCUAGGGGUGAAAGGCCAAUCAAACUCGGAGAUAGCUGGUUCUCCCCGAAAGCUAUUUAGGUAGCGCCUCGGACGAAUACUACUGGGGGUAGAGCACUGUUAAGGCUAGGGGGUCAUCCCGACUUACCAACCCUUUGCAAACUCCGAAUACCAGUAAGUACUAUCCGGGAGACACACGGCGGGUGCUAACGUCCGUCGUGGAGAGGGAAACAACCCAGACCGCCAGCUAAGGUCCCAAAUUACAGCUAAGUGGGAAACGAUGUGGGAAGGCUUAGACAGCUAGGAUGUUGGCUUAGAAGCAGCCAUCAUUUAAAGAAAGCGUAAUAGCUCACUAGUCGAGUCGGCCUGCGCGGAAGAUGUAACGGGGCUAAGUUGUAAACCGAAGCUGCGGCAAUAUCUUUUAGAUAUUGGGUAGGGGAGCGUUCUGUAAGCCGUUGAAGGUGUGUUGUAAAGCAUGCUGGAGGUAUCAGAAGUGCGAAUGCUGACAUGAGUAACGACAAGGGGGGUGAAAAACCUCCCCGCCGGAAGACCAAGGGUUCCUGUCCAACGUUAAUCGGGGCAGGGUAAGUCGACCCCUAAGGCGAGGCCGAAAGGCGUAGUCGAUGGGAAACGGGUUAAUAUUCCCGUACUUCUUACAAUUGCGAUGGGGGGACGGAGAAGGCUAGGUGGGCCUGGCGACGGUUGUCCAGGUUCAAGUGCGUAGGCU
Molecule: ribosomal RNA, 1106 nt
Filed under: Vibrio vulnificus
Lineage: Bacteria; Pseudomonadati; Pseudomonadota; Gammaproteobacteria; Vibrionales; Vibrionaceae
Description: partial 23S ribosomal RNA
Rfam family: Bacterial large subunit ribosomal RNA
Source: RNAcentral